This is a long non-coding RNA of Homo sapiens (human), 638 nucleotides long. RefSeq lists it as uncharacterized. The transcript has 3 exons. Lineage: Eukaryota; Metazoa; Chordata; Mammalia; Primates; Hominidae. The record is from RefSeq and is a predicted model, not a curated record.
UGCUGCUAGAUCAUGCAAGAACAAUGUAGUUCCAACAACCUUUUGGAGAACAGAUGAGCUCUGUUGAGUUUAUGACUGAAGACAGUGUGUGUGAUGACACACGUGGAGACAACGCCGUGGCGGACUUCUCUGUGCUGUUAGUGUUGGUGCAUGCUGCCUGGGAGAGCCGCUGCAGCUGUGUUUGCUCUGUGUGUGGUGUGUGCCAGCCCAGACACCAUCCCAGAUGAACAGCUCUUAUCCAAAGGUGUCAGUGACAUGAAAUUUGUCACUGCAGAUAUCCAGAGAGCUGAAAUAAAGGAGUUGCUGGAGUGCUGAAAUGCAGAACCUAGAGCAAUACUGAAGUAUGGACUGGGUCUGAGCUGCUGUACAGCUGUUGAAGGCAGUCUGAGGCACCCUGGAGAGAGACCUGGGCUUUCAGUACCCUUCUCAGGCCCCCAGCCCUCCUAGAGCAUUCCUCAGCGAGAUCUGUCAGCUUGCCAUGCACAGGUUUUGCCUUGUCCCAGAUCCUAGACCAGUGCUAAGUGGCAGCAGCAAGCCCUUACGCACAUUCCUAUUGAGGACAUUCCUUAUUGUAUUUCCUUGCGGACGUCAUAGUGUUACUGGGGGGUCCUUGUUCUUAGAGCUCCCAAGAUGGUGGC